UGAAAGAGAGAGAAGUGGGACUCACUCAAAGCAGGGCUUGUGUUUUACCUGAAGCAGGGCUCUUGCUCUCCUGAUGUAGGACUUGAACUCCCAAAUCACAAGAUCUUGACCUGAGCUACCCAGGUGCCCCUUUUGUUCUAUUCGGGUCCGCAACAGAUUGGAAGAUGCUCGCACACGUUAGGGAGGGCAACCUACUUUAUUAAAUCUGCUGAUUCAAAUGCUAAUCUUAUCCAGAACCACCCUAACAGACACUCCCAGAAAUAAUAUGUAAUCAGGGCACCCCGUGGCCGGUCAAAUUGAUUACCUGUUGUAAGUACCUAUUACCUAAAAUUAUCACGGAGCCCUUGUACAUUGCUGGUAGGAGUGUACAAUGUUGUCGCUACUGGAGAAAAUGAUACAAUUCCUCAAAAACACUGAACAGUUACCAAACAGUCCAGCAAUUCCACUGCUAGGUAUAUAUGCAAAAGAACUGAAAGUGAGGUCUUGAAUAGAUAUUUGUGUACCCAUGUUCAUAGCAGCUUUAUUCACAAUAGCCCAGAGGUGGAAGCAACCCAAGUGUCCUUGAGAGAUAAGUGGAUAACAAAAUGUAUACUUAGAAUACUAGUCAGCCUUAAGAAAGAAGGAAAUCCUGACACAUGCCACAACAUAGAAAAAGCUUGAAGACAUUAUGCUAAAUGAAAUCAGCCAGUCACAAAAGGCAAAUGAUUUUGUUUAUAUGAGAUUUCUAGAAUAGUCAAACUCACACAGGCAGAGAGUAGAAUGGUGGUUUCUAGGGCCUGGGGAGAGGGAAUGGGGCAUUAGGGAAUUGAAAGGUUAUAGAGUUUUAGUUGGGGAAGAUGAAAAGUUCUAGAGAUGGAUGGUGGCAAUGGUUGUACAGCAAUGUGAGUGAACUUAAAGCCACAGUACAUUUAAAAAUGGUGAAGAAGGUAAAUUUUAUGUAUAUUCUACCACAAUAAAAGUAUUUAGGACAGUCUUUCCAUAUGGUACAUAUUUUAUAAAUGGUAUUAAUAUUGUUAUUGUAGUAUUACUAUUGUUAAAAAGAAUGGUAAGGCAUGAAGCUGGGAAGGUAGGCAGAAGCCAGAUUGUGUACAGAGGCAAGUUAAGGGAUUUGAACUUUAUCUUGAAGACACAGAAUCCUAUAAGGGUUUUUACUAAGGAGCUAAUCUGACGAGGUUUGUGUUUAGCACAACAGCUGUGUGGAAGAUGCCUUUUAAUGGGGACAAGACUGGAGUUGAGAGAAGACUGUUAGAAUAAUGUAAUAGAGAUAUUCUUGGUAUCUAAACUUAUCUGCUCAGGUGCUGCUCGGAGACGACAAACAUGGAGAGGAUAAGAUCUUAUUUUGGAAGACUGAAUUGACAGAAUCUGUCUUCUAUCUUAAAAAAAAAAAAAAGGUUCUUGAUCCUUGGGUAUUCACUGUGUGGAAUCUGCUAUAUCCCCUCACCUAUUAUGGUGGUUCUUUUGUGGACCAUUUUUGAUGUGCAGUGAUUUCAAGACUGGAUUUACUGACAUAAUGUCAAAAUCGGGAAAAGGUAAAAUGAUGGGAUUUGUUUUCCAGUGAUCUUUUUGUCAAUACUAGAGUUUUUCUGGCUUUGGAAGCAUGAUAGAAUGAUGUCUUUAGGGUGCAUCAAAAUCCUUUCCCUGCUAGUUACUGGAAAUGUCAUUGUUAUAUAAAUAUUCUCAAAUACAGGAAGUGGAGGAGAUGUUUGAAGAGGCAUCCCUUCUGAACAAAACCUGCCUGGAGGUAGAAGAGUUAAAGUAACAAAACCAAAGAAAGCAGGAUGAAUUCUUCCUCUGAUUUCCAUUUCAAGGGACAGGGACUCAUAUAACAGAGAGGAGAGGUGAGGGGGCUGUUAAACAGCUCUAUCUACCCACAGACAAGAUUAUGCCAUGUGUCACCACCACCCCUCACUGGCAUCUUCAAAUUCCCACCUGCUUCAUACUACUCGAAAACUUUUUCUUAACACAAAAGGGAUCUAAUAAAACUAUUUAUGUUAAGACAUAAAUGUCUGCUACUAUAGAAUAUGUUUAUUUUACCCGGUAUAUUUUUAAUUUAAAUGAGAAAAAACUUAUCAAAGUGAUGACUAAAAACACUUGUGACUAUCUAGUAGACACUCAGUAAAAAUGAUGAUGGAAACAACUAACAUUAUUUCCACCGAUAGACAAGUCCUGACUCCUUUCCAAAGAAUUAUGAACCAUCCAUUAGACAAAUAUUUGUGCCUAACUGUGAAAAAUUCAGUAAUCAAAAAUCUUUUCAAAGAAAAAUCGUUUUGGUUUUCCUCAAUAAACAUAAUGCUAUUGUUUUCUGUUUCUUAGAUCCUCUUUUUAUUUUUUUCUGCUGUACCUGUAGGUGUCUCCCUAAGUUCAGGAUUAUUCUGUUUCCCUGAAAAAAUAUUCUUGAACUAAUGCCCCAUCCUAGAGACCCAUAGGCUCUGCGAACACUGUCAGGAAAAGCACAUCUCUUUAAUAAUCUGCUUAGAUGUACCUAAUGUCAUCCUUUUUGAUUGUGGUUUGUGGUCAGUACAACUACGUGUUGAUAAUUGUUCAUGAACUGUGCUGCUCUUGUGCUAAAAUGAUGAGUUCAUUAGCAGUGAAGCUAGAAUGUGACCUUGGAUGUGAGAUUAUUACUGAAUUCUAUUUAGUAAAUCCGUCUCUAAUUCACAUUAACUCAUUUUAAGUCUCUAAUUAUUCACGGCCUAUUUCCUCCCUCUGCAUUCAAACCCCUUGUUAUACUGACCUCCUUUACCACUUAAUAUGAGAUCAGGGCAUGUUAUUAAGAGUAUUUACACACAACACAAAACACAAAUUACCCUGAAGCCCUUAAAAAAGAGCAAUGCAGAAUUUAGUAACUUCUUUCAGGGUUAUCUGAAAUAACAAUACCCUCUAAUAAUACCCUUGUGGUUCUGAGAUCAUUGGCAAAAUAUAAUUAAGGUAAAUGUCAUGAAUUUAUGUAAUAUACAAUUUUAUUGGUUGACUACCAUUUGUUAAAUUCUAAUAUGCUAUUACUUUUGGAAAAUAAAAACAUAGAUUUCAUUGUGUUUUAGCUAAGCUGCACAUAGCCAGUAAGCAUUACAUAUGUGUAUAACAAAAAGACAUCUUUGUGUUAUUUCCUUCUGUGAACAAAAAGCUUAGCCCAGAGCUUACUGAGGAGGGUAUAAGAGAAGAGUAACAGUAAUGACAUUCUUAGGCUUUCUGGAUUGUCUUUACUUGACUUUAAAUAGUCUGUCCUAUUGCCUAUUUAGUUUUGUCAUUUUAUUAGACCAUAUGGUCAUCAGAGCAAUUUAGUGACAAUUUUCUGUCAGAAUAAAUGGUUAUCCAGACAAUAAGUUUAAAAGGACACCAGGCAGAUGACUCUCUUUGCCUUUAAAGUGCUCUUUGGUUUAAGGCAUCAAAGACCUCUAAAAAUAUGUUUUUAAAUUGUAAAUACAUCUGCUAAAAGCCUAAUAUUAAAUUAAACAUUUACACUCAAUUCUAAAAACAUUGACUAAGAGGCCAUUGCUUAUCGUGCACAGGUUGCACACUGUCAAACUCCAGGGGGAGCCAUUUACUUUGCAGUCUUGCACUGUCCUAGUCCUGCAUGUAUUCUGCUGCAAUUUUCUGUCUUAAAAGAGGGAUGAUGAGAGAGCCCAUGUCAAAUGUUUGUUCUAAAGAUUAAAUGAGAUAAUGCACGAAACCUGCUUUGAACUGUGCGGCACACAGUAAAAGACUAAUAAAUGUUUUCCACAGUAA
Molecule: long non-coding RNA, 3726 nt
Organism: Neofelis nebulosa (Clouded leopard)
Lineage: Eukaryota; Metazoa; Chordata; Mammalia; Carnivora; Felidae
Exons: 2
Source: RefSeq, a predicted model, not a curated record